GGGCCCUUUCAUUUUAAGUACAUAAAGAAAUCAUGGGCCUAGCUCAUAGGGAAAAUGAUGGGGUGGCCAUAAUCAAAUGGUUCAUUUCAUAAUCCAAAGUUCAGCAAAGGAAAUCUAGUUCUCCCCUUCCUCCAUGUUGACACAAGAAUCCACAAGAAUUCUCUUCAUAUCAUCAAUAAACUUCUGCAUUUGAUCCCUUGAAUGCAAUGGCGAUGGAUAAACACAAGCAGAAUCCAAGCUUCCAUCACGUAUGGUGUCAAAUACGGCGAUGGAAGGGCCAACGCCAUGGACUGAAGCACAACCCACAUAAUCCUCAACUCCAAGCUCUCCAUACGUUUCAUUAGAAUCAUCAAUCACAGGGUCCUCAAACACUGAUAUGCAGGCAGUUCU
RNAcentral lists this unclassified non-coding RNA (390 nucleotides) under Hevea brasiliensis (rubber tree). Lineage: Eukaryota; Viridiplantae; Streptophyta; Magnoliopsida; Malpighiales; Euphorbiaceae. The record is from RNAcentral.